CAGGCCCGUAGCGACCGCUGCCGAUCGCGAGAGGAUCUCUCCUUAGAGUCGGGUUGCUUGAGAGUGCAGCCCUAAGUGGGUGGUAAACUCCAUCUAAGGCUAAAUAUGACCACGAGACCGAUAGCGAACAAGUACCGUGAGGGAAAGUUGAAAAGCACUUUGAAGAGAGAGUUCAAGAGUACGUGAAACCGUUUAGGGGUAAACCUGAGAAACCCGAAAGGUCGAAGGGAGAAAUUCAUUCGCGUUUCGUGGCAGGCGUUCGGCGAUCGAGCGACGGAAAUGCGUUCGCGCGUCUUUCCGCACCUUUCGUCGGUACGAACCGGCAACGAACGCGUGCACUUUUCUCCCGGUAGGACGUCGCGAUCCGUCGGGUGUCGGUCUACGGCUUGCGGUGGAGCCCGUCCGUCGUCGUUUUUCGACGUACGAAUGGACCCGCGUGGCCCGGCCGACCCGCUCGACGGUAUACGAAAGGUUUAAGGCCGCUCUUUUGGAGCGUUCGACUCGUGCAAGCGCGUCAGCCGUGUCGGCGAUCGGACCUAGUGCCGAUUCCGACCUCUGGCGACUGUUGCCGCGAAGUUCUCGAACAGACCUUAGGACCGAUCCGCGACGCUAUAGCUUUGGGUACUUUCAGGACCCGUCUUG
This 642-nucleotide ribosomal RNA is filed under the name Tanysoma sp. NZAC 03037733. Its description in RNAcentral is "partial large subunit ribosomal RNA". It matches the Rfam family "Eukaryotic large subunit ribosomal RNA", at positions 216 to 656 of the family's 3401-position model. The record is from RNAcentral. Lineage: Eukaryota; Metazoa; Arthropoda; Insecta; Coleoptera; Curculionidae.